AAUGAGUUGAAUCUAAAAGACUUUUCGAGGAACAAUUGGAGGGCAAGUCUGGUGCCAGCAGCCGCGGUAAUUCCGGCUCCAAUAGCGUAUAUUAAAGUUGUUGCAGUUAAAAAGCUCGUAGUUGAACUUCUGUUUAUGCCCGGUUCUGGCCUCGGUCAAGCCGUGGCGUGAACAUCCGCUUGCAAACCUAGCCCGGCCUUUACUGGUCGACUAGGGGAGUAGGCCUUUUACUUUGAAAAAAUUAGAGUGUUUCAGGCAGGCAAUGGCUCGAAUACAUUAGCAUGGAAUAAUGGAAUAGGACUUUUGUUCAUUUGAUUGGUUAUUGAACAUGAGUAAUGAUUAAAAGGGACAGUUGGGGGCAUUAGUAUUUAAUUGUCAGAGGUGAAAUUCUUGGAUUUAUUAAAGACUAACUUAUGCGAAAGCAUUUGCCAAGGAUGUUUUCAUUAAUCAAGAACGAAAGUUAGGGGAUCAAAGACGAUCAGAUACCGUCCUAGUCUUAACUAUAAACUAUACCGACUCGGAAUCGGUCUGGCCUUUAAAACUGGAUCGGCGCCGUAUGAGAAAUCAAGUCUUUGGGUUCUGGGGGGAGUAUGGUCGCAAGGCUGAAACUUAAAGGAAUUGACGGAAGGGCACCACCAGGCGUGGAGCCUGCGGCUUAAUUUGACCCAACACGGGGAAACUUACCAGGUCCAAACAUGGGUGGGAUUGACAGAUUGAGAGCUCUUUCUUGAUUCUAUGGGUGGUGGUGCAUGGCCGUUCUUAGUUGGUGGAGUGAUUUGUCUGGUUAAUUCCGUUAACGAACGAGACCUUAACCUGCUAAAUAGUACGUUAAUGUCCAAUUGAUGUUACUUCUUAGAGGGACUAUGCGCUUUGAAACGCAUGGAAGUUUGAGGCAAUAACAGGUCUGUGAUGCCCUUAGAUGUCCUGGGCCGCACGCGCGCUACAAUGACUCGCUCAGCAAGUUUUUCCUGGUCCGGAAGGAUUCGAGUAAUCUUUACAAUACGAGUCGUGUUAGGGAUCGAUCUUUGCAAUUAUAGAUCUUGAACGAGGAAUGCCUAGUAAGUGCAAGUCAUCAGCUUGUACUGAUUACGUCCCUGCCCUUUGUACACACCGCCCGUCGCUCCUACCGAUUUCGAGUGAUCCGGUGAACCUUCUGGACUGAACAUGUUUCGGCAUGAGCGGAAGUUAAGUAAACCUUAUCACUUAGAGGAAGGAGAAGUCGUAACAAGGUU
This 1232-nucleotide ribosomal RNA is filed under the name metagenome. Its description in RNAcentral is "SSU rRNA". It matches the Rfam family "Eukaryotic small subunit ribosomal RNA", at positions 513 to 1801 of the family's 1831-position model. The record is from RNAcentral.